GAGGUGGAAUGUAUCUUUUAGUCCCACCUUGCUAUUGAGGGUGGAGGGACCCAACUAAAACGGAGUUAUCUCCUCCAACCACUUAGCAAGUGUUGAUGAAAGGACUAGGAGAAGACACGCGCACGCUCGCUCGCCUCGCUUCGCUGGACCGUUGCCGUGGCUGGGGCAAGGCGAAGGGUGUGGGUGCACGACACCUGCGUGAAUGGUUCGUCGAAAUCAGGUCCAGUGGCUUGCGCAGGUGUGGCCUCCUUUUGCAGUUUUAUUCUUUUACUGCAUGGCCAAACAGAUAUAUACAUAUGGAAAUCGUAUCGAUUAAGAAUUCGAUCGUGGCAUGUCUCAACCAUGUGAUUUUUUCUAUACAUACCUGCCAGCCGCCGCCACAAAAGAAAUACGCAAUCAGGGUUUGCCUCUUUCUCUGUUGUGCUGUCACACAGUCUGCUCCGUCUUGCUCUGCCUGCGUGGACCAGCGAUCAGGAGAACAAGCCUCUGGAACCCAUCGUACUUGCUAUCAUGCACCAAGAGAGAGCAAACAAGGUUUUUGGAAAGAGCUUCACGCGACUACUCAUGAUCUGUUUCAUCAUCGCCAUUGAAUGCUCGCGAUCUGCUUCCUAUUGUUGUCACCUUCUGCAUCGUCGUCACGGGAGCUUUGGUGUCGAUCACUGUCGAUCGGACUGUGAAAUCGGUUUAUUAGUUCCGAAACUGGCUAUGGACAGCAUUCACGUACACUGCCAUGGUGGACUAUCCAACCCCCCGUGAAUUUCCUGGAGAAUCUGCAUGCCUACCCCGUCACGGAGAUGUGCGAGAUCAUCGAUGGUUUCCUCGCAAGCGCAAACAUCAUGAACAAAAUCUUUUGCAGCGGCAAGCCUGUAAUACAAUUAGACAGGAGACCAGACUUCCAGAUAGAGGAUGGAGAUGACCCACAUGGCGUCAGUAGCUGUGAAUUGCUGGUAGAACCUGAAAAACAAAUAGUACAAUGCUAGUGACAACAAUGAGAUUGCACAGAGAUGAUCAUGCCGAUGUCGAUCUCCAACGAGAGCAUGCUCCCACCAUACACCUUCAGUUAUGAUGACUGGUCCGAGGAUUUCUUUGCGAGCUGGGGGGUUCGGCCAAGACCGCAUUGGAUCACCACUGAAUGUGGUAGAUGUGUAAGUGUUGUUUCAGACAUUCUCAUGUCCUCAUCUGGUGCUGCAUUGCACAUUUUCCUGCAGAAAAUUUAUCAGGUGAUCAAGAGAUUUUGGGGCAACAUCAUAUUCUCCAACGAAAUGCGAGACACAUGUAGUCGAGACGGGGUGCUCAAGAACAUAUUACAGAGAAGGGUGAGCAAGAAACAGCAGGAAAAAAUGGAAGGCCAUAACAAUGUUUUUGAGAUUUACUAAUGUCAAGGUCACUUGUUCUGAUGAUCCGGGGCUAAUAUUUGGAUCCAUACAAAAAAAGAAGAUGAUGAGAUUUUCCUUCUUACACAGGAUGUUAUACAGGGCAAGUUAAAGUAACAUAAGGUGAAAAGCCAAUAAGUUAUGUCACUGAUCAUCAGAAACUGUAAAACAUGAUAAGUCUUACAUGAAUCAUGAAUCUAAGGUUCCUUCAUACUCAGAUUCUGUUUCUGAAACUGCAUAGCUUCUUCUGUUUGGAUUCCAUCCUAAGACAGGAAUGAACAGUGGCGUUGUAUCAGCACUGGUUUUGUCUGUUUCACGCAUGAAAACCAAGGCUAUCUGUUUAAUUGCAAGAAAAGUGCAGCAUU
This is a long non-coding RNA of Phragmites australis (common reed), 1738 nucleotides long. RefSeq lists it as uncharacterized. Lineage: Eukaryota; Viridiplantae; Streptophyta; Magnoliopsida; Poales; Poaceae. The transcript is spliced from 4 exons. The record is from RefSeq and is a predicted model, not a curated record.